RNAcentral lists this long non-coding RNA (835 nucleotides) under Betta splendens (Siamese fighting fish). Its description in RNAcentral is "lncRNA (ENSBSLG00000004056.1)". The record is from RNAcentral. Lineage: Eukaryota; Metazoa; Chordata; Actinopteri; Anabantiformes; Osphronemidae.
ACAGAGUCUUGGGGUGAAGCAUUCAGAGAGGAGUUUGAUUGGAGCAAACACAGGAUGGUGUCAUUUCUUAUUGGCUAAGCACGGACCCACCCACCUGUUUAGCCAUUGACCAAUGAACAGCCAGGUUUUUCCAGGAAGUGGCUUUUAAUUACCCAGGAAGUUAAACUCUGUCAUGGCGUCUUUGCCACGCCCCAAACAAUUUGAGUUAAAAUGCUUGUCUGUUCAUUCACACAGAUGUUAACAGUGAGCGAAGUGUGUUUUCCAGUGACUCGUGGCUUUUUUUAAAAUAAAUAAAAUAAUUCCUGCAUUCAAAGGGAGUAUUGCAAAUGGAAGCCACCACAUGUUCAUCAAAUGUGUGAUGAGGAGGCUGGUGACUGAUGAAGCCCCUUGAAGAAGCAAGUAGGUGUCAACAGGGGACUGUUCUGAACCUUCCACCAUGUCACGCUCGCUACCUUCAAGCAGCAAUGAAGCCUGGUGCUGUGACCGGACCACGUCUACUGGAUCCAUCCCGGCCAUUUAAAGGGAAAAGUCUUAAAGGAGUCUUCAGCUGUGGCAGUGGAGCGUCGGGCAGCGGGUUAAGGAACGAUGACUCGGCCGACGGCGAGGACGAAGAGAAGCACAGCUGAACCGUCUUUCACGCUCGCCUCUGCCACGGAACCAGGCCUGAUGGGAAGCCUCUGACGCUGUAAAGCUGCGGUCAGAUCUGCGGAGCGUCCACGGGACCAGGACGAGACAGCAGAGCUUCAAUAUUGUGGAGCAGUUUGUUAUAGUUGCAGAACCACAGACAGUCUCAGUGUUGAAAUCCAGGCUACAAACCCAUCUGUUUAGUGCUGAC